CUCACAGGCACUUUGUCCAGGAAGCGAGGGCCUUGCGUGCGGCCACACGGACUGCAAGCAGUUCCCAUCAGAUGCUCCACCGGACGGCCUGGGAGGAACGGCCCUGAGGGCUCCUGUUCCUGCGUGCACCCUCGACUCUUCCCCUGCCUCCGACACAAGGAAGUUGGAGCCGUUCUGGAAGCUGGAAGCUGCUCUUCUGCCCGAUGCUGGUUUGAGAGGCAGUCAGGAGGGCUCCACCCCUGUCAACAGGACCAAAGUCCCAGAGUCGAGAGCUCGGCUGGGCCACUUCCUGAGGGAGAUGCAGCUCCACGAGGCCUGGAGGCUGAGGAGAGUCAGGAGGAGACGCUGGAGAGGAGGGCCCAGCGUGGCCCAGCCUGCCCUGCGGCUCCUGGGGCUGCAGGUGCCAGUCGCACCUUCAGGGCUGCGGUUGGGUGUCCUCCACGGUGCUUGCGAGGGGGACCUUGAGGUUUCUUCUGGCCUCGGCUUCCUCUCACAACAACAAGGGUUGGUUCCUCGAAGGGCAAGUGUCCUCUGGAUCUGGUUCUGCAUGCACUCUCCCAGCUCCUGCUGGUACAUGUUUCCUGGGUCCUGACGCUCGUUUGCUGACAGGUCCUUCCUUCCUCGUCAGACCCUGAGCUUCUCCAGCUGCGUGACACUGAUGUCAUGGAGGAGCAGAGCUGGAGCAGAUCACUGGGGAAUCCGUGUCAUCAUACAGACAUCUCUGCGUCAUGUUCCAGCACAGAUAGAGCAUUUGCCUUCAACAGGGAGAAGAAGGACACCUCUUCGGGUCCAGAAGAUGUAGGGAAACCUGAGGUUCAAGAAUUUGAGUGUAUUGAUCAGAUGACCCUCCCUGAAGCCUCAGGGUCUCCCUUCUUCCCAACCAGGUCCUGCCAUUGGGCAGCAGCCUCCCUUGGGUUGAGGGCUGCUGUCUUUAGGACUGAGUCUUGAUCCACGGCUCUUUUUGGUUCUCUGGCUGCAGGAGAGGAGAGUGUCUAUAUGGCACCAAGGAAGCCCUCUUUUUGUCACUUUUUUUAAAAAUUGGAGAUCUUUUCAUUGCCUUGUUCUUGGCAAGAGCCGCCUGAUUCUGUAAUGCAGAUGGUUGCUGCUCUUCCCAGCCACUCCGAUGCCCUGGAUGCGGCACCCAGCAGUGUGUUUCUUUCAUUGGGCUUCCACCCUGGCUCAGUGCUACUACUGCCUGGCAGGGCUGUGGUGCCACCAGUGAUGUGCCACUUGGCAUUCUGUGCUCAACCCCACCAUACAGGCUGCUCCUGGAACACUCCUGGCCCCACCAUCUUCUGCUGGGCUCCCCUGGACACAAACUCUGAAGCAGAGGUUUGUGUGCAAGAGGUUAUUGGGAGUGUUCUCGGAAGAAAAGUCCUGUGAGCAUGGGAGGGAAGAAGGAUCGGGCAGAGGAGUAUCUUGACCACUGUGCAGGUCUGCGGGGCCUCGGCUGACCCUCCGAGAUGCUCAGCAGCUGAGGCUGCUGGUCAGUUGUCUUGAUGGAGGCAGAGCCUUGGUC
Molecule: long non-coding RNA, 1519 nt
Filed under: Equus caballus (horse)
Lineage: Eukaryota; Metazoa; Chordata; Mammalia; Perissodactyla; Equidae
Description: lncRNA (ENSECAG00000060340.1)
Source: RNAcentral